Molecule: non-coding RNA, 141 nt
Filed under: Oxyrrhis marina
Lineage: Eukaryota; Dinophyceae; Oxyrrhinales; Oxyrrhinaceae
Source: RNAcentral
AAUGAGGAAAGUAGUACAACAACAAUGCUGUUAUGGAAAAGAAAAUAUGUAGACAGUAUCACCACCUGCUAGCUCGGUUUCUUCUUUUUUUUUCUUUUUUGUCUUAUUCAUAUAUAUACUACUUACUACUUAUAAUAAUGG